GGAAGGUUGGCCGAGUGGUCGAUGGCGGCAGUCUUGAAAACUGUUAGGCGGUAACGCCUCAGGGGUUCGAAUCCCUUACCUUCCG
RNAcentral lists this transfer RNA (85 nucleotides) under Bacteroidales bacterium. RNAcentral describes it as "tRNA-Ser". It matches the Rfam family "tRNA". From Rfam's summary of the family: Transfer RNA (tRNA) molecules are approximately 80 nucleotides in length. Their secondary structure includes four short double-helical elements and three loops (D, anti-codon, and T loops). RNAcentral also lists the same sequence under 1 other name. The record is from RNAcentral. Lineage: Bacteria; Pseudomonadati; Bacteroidota; Bacteroidia; Bacteroidales.